CUUGAUGUUAUCCAGCUCCUUUUAAAUGCAUUAGCAGGACUUGCAUGACCAGCUCCAGUUUGAUACAUGUGUUAUCUGAGCUGUUGCUGUGAAAGCUCCCAAGGUCAUCUGCUUCUCAAACUGUCUGUGGACUUUGUCCCAGUGGACAAAUAUACCUUGAACUUGACCUCAAAUCAGGUAGGACUACCCGCUGAACUUAA
Molecule: unclassified non-coding RNA, 200 nt
Filed under: soil metagenome
Description: partial contains internal transcribed spacer 2 and large subunit ribosomal RNA
Source: RNAcentral